CCUACGGGUGGCAGCAGUGGGGAAUAUUGGACAAUGGGGGGAACCCUGAUCCAGCCAUGCCGCGUGUGUGAAGAAGGCCCUCGGGUUGUAAAGCACUUUCAGUGAGGAAGAACGCCUGGUGGUUAAUACACAUCAGGAAAGACAUCACUCACAGAAGAAGCACCGGCUAACUCCGUGCCAGCAGCCGCGGUAAUACGGAGGGUGCGAGCGUUAAUCGGAAUUACUGGGCGUAAAGCGCGCGUAGGUGGCUUGAUAAGCCGGUUGUGAAAGCCCCGGGCUCAACCUGGGAACGGCAUCCGGAACUGUCAAGCUAGAGUGCAGGAGAGGAAGGUAGAAUUCCCGGUGUAGCGGUGAAAUGCGUAGAGAUCGGGAGGAAUACCAGUGGCGAAGGCGGCCUUCUGGACUGACACUGACACUGAGGUGCGAAAGCGUGGGUAGCAAACAGGAUUAGAUACCCCUGUAGUC
This 465-nucleotide ribosomal RNA is filed under the name Vreelandella stevensii. RNAcentral's name for it is "partial 16S ribosomal RNA". It matches the Rfam family "Bacterial small subunit ribosomal RNA", at positions 338 to 795 of the family's 1533-position model. The record is from RNAcentral. Lineage: Bacteria; Pseudomonadati; Pseudomonadota; Gammaproteobacteria; Oceanospirillales; Halomonadaceae.